RNAcentral lists this ribosomal RNA (906 nucleotides) under Triticum aestivum (bread wheat). RNAcentral's name for it is "partial small subunit ribosomal RNA". Lineage: Eukaryota; Viridiplantae; Streptophyta; Magnoliopsida; Poales; Poaceae. The record is from RNAcentral.
AUGGCUAGAGCAUGGAAGGAUAACUAUUAUGGUAUAUCACAAUUAUCAAGGUACAUCUUUGUGGCUCAUUUUCGUUCUUUGGAUGCUGUUAUGUUUGUCAUUACUCGUCAGCCUUGGAGCAUGGGUUCAGACAAUUUCUUGCUUGAAUGGAUGGAUCCAGAGGAGCAAAAUAGGAAUAUUCAGGACUAUAAGUUUGACACUAUCUACGUGACUAUUCGGAUUUAUGACAUCUUGCAAAGUGUUGGCCAGAUCUCAGAAUUUCAUCCUAUAAAUCAGAGUAUGAUAUUUGCUAGGGAGAAUUACAUUUGGGGUACCAUUAAAGCUCAGGUUAGUAAAGCAGUCAGAGAUAGAGUUUGGGUUUCUUUUGCCAAGGAUUCUGCUGGUUGGGCUUACUUAUUCUAUGAGAAAAUUGGCAGAAUCUGCACUUUUUGUGGAGUUAUGUUUCAUAGUGUUCAGCAUUGCAAGAUCAGAAAUAGUGUUCUCAUUUCAAGAAACAGGCUGCAAGUUUCUUUGGAAGAAAUCUCACCAAAUAGAUUUGGGCAGUGGAUGACUAAUGCAGAGUUGAUUCCUACUCUUUCAGGAGGAAAUGUUCAGGCAGAAGCAAAUUCAUUCUCAUCUUUCAUCAAUCCUCAGCUAGCAAGGUUGCAGAAGCAGUUCAUAGAGGAUCCCAAAGGAAAAGGAAAGAUGUUAGAAGAGGAUUCUGCUAAAAAAGGAAAUCAGAAGGUAUUAUCUUUAAGGAAAAUUAAUGAACAAAAUAAAAGAAUGGAAGGAGAGUUCAUUCACAGUCAGCAGCAGAGUCAAAGUGGUGAUUUAAUGGAUACAACGGUGUUACCAGAUGCAGGUAAUAAGGAGACAGAUGUUGGGCAAAGCAAUUACGUAGAAGGAGGGCAAGUUGAAGCUCUUUAG